GCUUUCAAUUCAUUAGGGCAGGCUGUAGUACUGUUGAUCGGUACUGUUUAUGCAUACUGUUCACGCAACUGUUCAUGGGUAAUAUUCACGCACACUGUUUGAGAGUACUAUUCAUUGGCACUAUUCAUAACAUGCGGACUUCCAACUUUUACAACUGUUUCUAGUGUAUUGCGCUUCUGCCCAGCCAUUUUUCUUAAUCUGACCACAAGCGAAUAUGUCUGAAACAGUGGAUUA
This 234-nucleotide unclassified non-coding RNA is filed under the name Hevea brasiliensis (rubber tree). The record is from RNAcentral. Lineage: Eukaryota; Viridiplantae; Streptophyta; Magnoliopsida; Malpighiales; Euphorbiaceae.